RNAcentral lists this ribosomal RNA (293 nucleotides) under uncultured Acidobacteriota bacterium. RNAcentral describes it as "uncultured Acidobacteria bacterium partial 16S ribosomal RNA". The record is from RNAcentral. Lineage: Bacteria; Pseudomonadati; Acidobacteriota.
GGACUACAGGGGUUUCUAAUCCUGUUUGCUACCCACGCUUUCGUGUCUCAGCGUCAGUUACGGUCCAGAAAGCCGUCUACACCACCGGUGUUCCUCCUGAUAUCUACGCAUUUCACCGCUACACCAGGAAUUCCACUUUCCUCUCCCGUACUCCAAGUCAUUCAGUAUUCGGCGCUCCCUCCCAGUUGAGCCGGGAGAUUUCACACCAAACUUAAAUCACCGCCUACACACCCUUUACGCCCAGUAACUCCGAACAACGCUCGCUGCCUACGUAUUACCGCGGCGGCUGGCAC